This 119-nucleotide ribosomal RNA is filed under the name Pteropus alecto (black flying fox). The record is from RNAcentral. Lineage: Eukaryota; Metazoa; Chordata; Mammalia; Chiroptera; Pteropodidae.
GUCUACGGCCAUGGCACCCUGAACGUGCCUGAUCUCGUCUAAUCUUAGAAGCUAAGCAGGGUGGGGCAUAGUUAGUACUUGGAUGGGAGAACACCUGGGAAUCCCAGGUGCUGUAGGCA